This 253-nucleotide ribosomal RNA is filed under the name uncultured bacterium. RNAcentral's name for it is "partial 16S ribosomal RNA". It matches the Rfam family "Bacterial small subunit ribosomal RNA", at positions 524 to 776 of the family's 1533-position model. The record is from RNAcentral.
UACGGGGGGGGCAAGCGUUGUUCGGAAUUACUGGGCGUAAAGGGCUCGUAGGCGGCCAACUAAGUCAAACGUGAAAUCCCUCGGCUUAACCGGGGAACUGCGCUUGAUACUGGAUGGCUUGAGAUUGGGAGAGGGAUGCGGAAUUCCAGGUGUAGCGGUGAAAUGCGCAGAUAUCAGGAGGAACACCAAUGGCGAAGGCAGCUCGCUGGGACGUGACUGACGCUGAGACGCGAAAGCGUGGGGAGCAAACAGG